Molecule: non-coding RNA, 203 nt
Organism: Pelobates cultripes (western spadefoot toad)
Lineage: Eukaryota; Metazoa; Chordata; Amphibia; Anura; Pelobatidae
Source: the annotation of a GenBank genome assembly
GGCUAUUCAAAACAACAAGCAGGGUUUUAGUCAUUUAACUAAUUCUCCACUAACCUGGUGGAGAAUUGACAAGAGAAUUGCAAGAACUAUGUAGAUGUUCCAGAAAAACUUCCAAAAGACAUUCUCACCCUUACUUGCCUUAAAGGAACACUCCACACACCUAAAGUACUUUAACUUGCUGAAAUGUGCAGAUUUCAAUAGAA